AACGAACGCUGGCGGCAUGCCUAACACAUGCAAGUCGAACGAGACCUUCGGGUCUAGUGGCGCACGGGUGCGUAACGCGUGGGAACCUGCCUUUAGGUUCGGAAUAAACUCAGAGAAAUUUGAGCUAAUACCGGAUAAUGUCUUCGGACCAAAGAUUUAUCGCCUUUAGAUGGACCCGCGUUGGAUUAGCUAGUUGGUGGGUAAAGGCCUACCAAGGCGACGAUCCAUAGCUGGUCUGAGAGGAUGAUCAGCCACACUGGGACUGAGACACGGCCCAGACUCCUACGGGAGGCAGCAGUGGGGAAUAUGGACAAUGGCGAAAGCCUGAGUCCCAGGCAAUGCCGCGUGAGUGAUGAAGG
RNAcentral lists this ribosomal RNA (359 nucleotides) under uncultured bacterium. RNAcentral's name for it is "bacterial SSU rRNA". It matches the Rfam family "Bacterial small subunit ribosomal RNA", at positions 29 to 414 of the family's 1533-position model. The record is from RNAcentral.